This 656-nucleotide ribosomal RNA is filed under the name Shigella flexneri. RNAcentral's name for it is "bacterial SSU rRNA". It matches the Rfam family "Bacterial small subunit ribosomal RNA", at positions 889 to 1533 of the family's 1533-position model. Lineage: Bacteria; Pseudomonadati; Pseudomonadota; Gammaproteobacteria; Enterobacterales; Enterobacteriaceae. The record is from RNAcentral.
CAAGGUUAAAACUCAAAUGAAUUGACGGGGGCCCGCACAAGCGGUGGAGCAUGUGGUUUAAUUCGAUGCAACGCGAAGAACCUUACCUGGUCUUGACAUCCACGGAAGUUUUCAGAGAUGAGAAUGUGCCUUCGGGAACCGUGAGACAGGUGCUGCAUGGCUGUCGUCAGCUCGUGUUGUGAAAUGUUGGGUUAAGUCCCGCAACGAGCGCAACCCUUAUCCUUUGUUGCCAGCGGUCCGGCCGGGAACUCAAAGGAGACUGCCAGUGAUAAACUGGAGGAAGGUGGGGAUGACGUCAAGUCAUCAUGGCCCUUACGACCAGGGCUACACACGUGCUACAAUGGCGCAUACAAAGAGAAGCGACCUCGCGAGAGCAAGCGGACCUCAUAAAGUGCGUCGUAGUCCGGAUUGGAGUCUGCAACUCGACUCCAUGAAGUCGGAAUCGCUAGUAAUCGUGGAUCAGAAUGCCACGGUGAAUACGUUCCCGGGCCUUGUACACACCGCCCGUCACACCAUGGGAGUGGGUUGCAAAAGAAGUAGGUAGCUUAACCUUCGGGAGGGCGCUUACCACUUUGUGAUUCAUGACUGGGGUGAAGUCGUAACAAGGUAACCGUAGGGGAACCUGCGGUUGGAUCACCUCCUUACCUUAAAGAAGC